RNAcentral lists this ribosomal RNA (402 nucleotides) under bacterium. RNAcentral's name for it is "partial 16S ribosomal RNA". It matches the Rfam family "Bacterial small subunit ribosomal RNA", at positions 355 to 776 of the family's 1533-position model. The record is from RNAcentral.
UGGGGAAUUUUGCACAAUGGGGGAAACCCUGAUGCAGCGACGCCGCGUGAUUUAGAAGGCCUUCGGGUUGUAAAAAUCUUUUUUACAGGAUGAAAAUGACAGUACCGUAAGAAUAAGGUCCGGCUAAAUACGUGCCAGCAGCCGCGGUAAUACGUAUGGACCGAGCGUUGUCCGGAAUCAUUGGGCGUAAAGGGUACGUAGGCGGCCUAGUAAGUUAGAAGUGAAAUAAUAUAGCUCAACUAUAUAAAGCUUUUAAAACUGCUAGGCUUGAGAGAUGGAAGGGAAGGUGGAAUUCCUAGUGUAGCGGUGAAAUGCGCAGAUAUUAGGAAGAAUACCGGUGGCGAAGGCGACUUUCUGGUCAUCAUCUGACGCUGAGGUACGAAAGCGUGGGUAGCAAACAGG